This is a small nucleolar RNA of Clarias gariepinus (North African catfish), 69 nucleotides long. RefSeq annotates it as small nucleolar RNA SNORD75. The record is from RefSeq and is a predicted model, not a curated record. Lineage: Eukaryota; Metazoa; Chordata; Actinopteri; Siluriformes; Clariidae. The transcript has a single exon.
AGCCUCUGAUGAACAAUGUGUAAGAGUAGUGGACAGAAGUGGUUUCUGAGAAAUACCUUUUCUGAGGCU